RNAcentral lists this ribosomal RNA (2903 nucleotides) under Escherichia coli UMEA 3144-1. RNAcentral describes it as "bacterial LSU rRNA". It matches the Rfam family "Bacterial large subunit ribosomal RNA". The record is from RNAcentral. Lineage: Bacteria; Pseudomonadati; Pseudomonadota; Gammaproteobacteria; Enterobacterales; Enterobacteriaceae.
UUAAGCGACUAAGCGUACACGGUGGAUGCCCUGGCAGUCAGAGGCGAUGAAGGACGUGCUAAUCUGCGAUAAGCGUCGGUAAGGUGAUAUGAACCGUUAUAACCGGCGAUUUCCGAAUGGGGAAACCCAGUGUGUUUCGACACACUAUCAUUAACUGAAUCCAUAGGUUAAUGAGGCGAACCGGGGGAACUGAAACAUCUAAGUACCCCGAGGAAAAGAAAUCAACCGAGAUUCCCCCAGUAGCGGCGAGCGAACGGGGAGGAGCCCAGAGCCUGAAUCAGUGUGUGUGUUAGUGGAAGCGUCUGGAAAGGCGUGCGAUACAGGGUGACAGCCCCGUACACAAAAAUGCACAUGCUGUGAGCUCGAUGAGUAGGGCGGGACACGUGGUAUCCUGUCUGAAUAUGGGGGGACCAUCCUCCAAGGCUAAAUACUCCUGACUGACCGAUAGUGAACCAGUACCGUGAGGGAAAGGCGAAAAGAACCCCGGCGAGGGGAGUGAAAAAGAACCUGAAACCGUGUACGUACAAGCAGUGGGAGCCUCUUUAUGGGGUGACUGCGUACCUUUUGUAUAAUGGGUCAGCGACUUAUAUUCUGUAGCAAGGUUAACCGAAUAGGGGAGCCGAAGGGAAACCGAGUCUUAACUGGGCGUUAAGUUGCAGGGUAUAGACCCGAAACCCGGUGAUCUAGCCAUGGGCAGGUUGAAGGUUGGGUAACACUAACUGGAGGACCGAACCGACUAAUGUUGAAAAAUUAGCGGAUGACUUGUGGCUGGGGGUGAAAGGCCAAUCAAACCGGGAGAUAGCUGGUUCUCCCCGAAAGCUAUUUAGGUAGCGCCUCGUGAAUUCAUCUCCGGGGGUAGAGCACUGUUUCGGCAAGGGGGUCAUCCCGACUUACCAACCCGAUGCAAACUGCGAAUACCGGAGAAUGUUAUCACGGGAGACACACGGCGGGUGCUAACGUCCGUCGUGAAGAGGGAAACAACCCAGACCGCCAGCUAAGGUCCCAAAGUCAUGGUUAAGUGGGAAACGAUGUGGGAAGGCCCAGACAGCCAGGAUGUUGGCUUAGAAGCAGCCAUCAUUUAAAGAAAGCGUAAUAGCUCACUGGUCGAGUCGGCCUGCGCGGAAGAUGUAACGGGGCUAAACCAUGCACCGAAGCUGCGGCAGCGACGCUUAUGCGUUGUUGGGUAGGGGAGCGUUCUGUAAGCCUGCGAAGGUGUACUGUGAGGUAUGCUGGAGGUAUCAGAAGUGCGAAUGCUGACAUAAGUAACGAUAAAGCGGGUGAAAAGCCCGCUCGCCGGAAGACCAAGGGUUCCUGUCCAACGUUAAUCGGGGCAGGGUGAGUCGACCCCUAAGGCGAGGCCGAAAGGCGUAGUCGAUGGGAAACAGGUUAAUAUUCCUGUACUUGGUGUUACUGCGAAGGGGGGACGGAGAAGGCUAUGUUGGCCGGGCGACGGUUGUCCCGGUUUAAGCGUGUAGGCUGGUUUUCCAGGCAAAUCCGGAAAAUCAAGGCUGAGGCGUGAUGACGAGGCACUACGGUGCUGAAGCAACAAAUGCCCUGCUUCCAGGAAAAGCCUCUAAGCAUCAGGUAACAUCAAAUCGUACCCCAAACCGACACAGGUGGUCAGGUAGAGAAUACCAAGGCGCUUGAGAGAACUCGGGUGAAGGAACUAGGCAAAAUGGUGCCGUAACUUCGGGAGAAGGCACGCUGAUACGUAGGUGAAGUCCCUUGCUGAUGGAGCUGAAAUCAGUCGAAGAUACCAGCUGGCUGCAACUGUUUAUUAAAAACACAGCACUGUGCAAACACGAAAGUGGACGUAUACGGUGUGACGCCUGCCCGGUGCCGGAAGGUUAAUUGAUGGGGUUAGCGGUAACGCGAAGCUCUUGAUCGAAGCCCCGGUAAACGGCGGCCGUAACUAUAACGGUCCUAAGGUAGCGAAAUUCCUUGUCGGGUAAGUUCCGACCUGCACGAAUGGCGUAAUGAUGGCCAGGCUGUCUCCACCCGAGACUCAGUGAAAUUGAACUCGCUGUGAAGAUGCAGUGUACCCGCGGCAAGACGGAAAGACCCCGUGAACCUUUACUAUAGCUUGACACUGAACAUUGAGCCUUGAUGUGUAGGAUAGGUGGGAGGCUUUGAAGUGUGGACGCCAGUCUGCAUGGAGCCGACCUUGAAAUACCACCCUUUAAUGUUUGAUGUUCUAACGUUGGCCCCUAAUCGGGGUUGCGGACAGUGUCUGGUGGGUAGUUUGACUGGGGCGGUCUCCUCCUAAAGAGUAACGGAGGAGCACGAAGGUUGGCUAAUCCUGGUCGGACAUCAGGAGGUUAGUGCAAUGGCAUAAGCCAGCUUGACUGCGAGCGUGACGGCGCGAGCAGGUGCGAAAGCAGGUCAUAGUGAUCCGGUGGUUCUGAAUGGAAGGGCCAUCGCUCAACGGAUAAAAGGUACUCCGGGGAUAACAGGCUGAUACCGCCCAAGAGUUCAUAUCGACGGCGGUGUUUGGCACCUCGAUGUCGGCUCAUCACAUCCUGGGGCUGAAGUAGGUCCCAAGGGUAUGGCUGUUCGCCAUUUAAAGUGGUACGCGAGCUGGGUUUAGAACGUCGUGAGACAGUUCGGUCCCUAUCUGCCGUGGGCGCUGGAGAACUGAGGGGGGCUGCUCCUAGUACGAGAGGACCGGAGUGGACGCAUCACUGGUGUUCGGGUUGUCAUGCCAAUGGCACUGCCCGGUAGCUAAAUGCGGAAGAGAUAAGUGCUGAAAGCAUCUAAGCACGAAACUUGCCCCGAGAUGAGUUCUCCCUGACUCCUUGAGAGUCCUGAAGGAACGUUGAAGACGACGACGUUGAUAGGCCGGGUGUGUAAGCGCAGCGAUGCGUUGAGCUAACCGGUACUAAUGAACCGUGAGGCUUAACCUU